Molecule: ribosomal RNA, 200 nt
Filed under: uncultured bacterium
Lineage: Bacteria
Description: partial 16S ribosomal RNA
Rfam family: Bacterial small subunit ribosomal RNA
Source: RNAcentral
AGAGUUUGAUCCUGGCUCAGAUUGAACGCUGGCGGCGUGCCUAAUACAUGCAAGUCGAGCGGUAACAGGUGUAGCAAUACAUGCUGACGAGCGGCGAACGGGUGAGUAACGCUUCGGAAUCUACCCAGUAGCGGGGAAUAACUAGCCGAAAGGUUAGCUAAUGCCGCAUACGACCUACGGGUGAAAGCGGGGGAUCGCAA